Molecule: ribosomal RNA, 474 nt
Filed under: uncultured bacterium
Lineage: Bacteria
Description: SSU rRNA
Rfam family: Bacterial small subunit ribosomal RNA
Source: RNAcentral
AGGAUGAACGCUGGCGGCGUGCCUAACACAUGCAAGUCGAACGUCCUGUCUCGCAAGAGGCAGGGAGUGGCGGACGGGUGAGUACCACGUGGGUCAUCUACCGUGAGGUGAGGAAUACCGGCGAGAAAUCGCCGACAAGACCGCAUAGGCUCGAUGCAAGUCGAGCAAAAGCUCUUUCGAGAGAGGGAGCGCCACACGAGGAGCCUGCGCCCGAUUAGCUAGCUGGUGGAGUAAUGGUUCACCAGGGCGACGAUCGGUAGCUGGUCUGAGAGGACGAUCAGCCACACUGGGAUUGAGAACGGCCCAGACUCCUACGGGGGGCAGCAGUGAGGAAUUUUCGUCAAUGGGGCAACCCUGAACGAGCAACGCCGCGUGCAGGAAGAAGGUUUCGGAUCGUAAACUGGCUUUCUCGGGAAGAGAACGGACGGUACCCGAGGAAUCAGCCCCGGCUAACUACGUGCCAGCAGCCGCGGU